UACGGGGGGGGCAAGCGUUGUUCGGAAUUACUGGGCGUAAAGGGCUCGUAGGUGGCCAACUAAGUCAGACGUGAAAUCCCUCGGCUUAACCGGGGAACUGCGUCUGAUACUGGAUGGCUAGAGUUUGGGAGAGGGAUGCGGAAUUCCAGGUGUAGCGGUGAAAUGCGUAGAUAUCUGGAGGAACACCGGUGGCGAAGGCGGGUCUCUGGGCCGAUAUUGACGCUGAGGAGCGAAAGCGUGGGGAGCGAACAGG
Molecule: ribosomal RNA, 253 nt
Filed under: uncultured bacterium
Lineage: Bacteria
Description: partial 16S ribosomal RNA
Rfam family: Bacterial small subunit ribosomal RNA
Source: RNAcentral